CAUGAAAUACAUUGGUGUACCC
This 22-nucleotide non-coding RNA is filed under the name Arabidopsis thaliana (thale cress). Lineage: Eukaryota; Viridiplantae; Streptophyta; Magnoliopsida; Brassicales; Brassicaceae. The record is from RNAcentral.